RNAcentral lists this ribosomal RNA (177 nucleotides) under Ophiocordyceps robertsii. RNAcentral describes it as "5.8S ribosomal RNA". The stretch from base 13 to 166 matches the Rfam family "5.8S ribosomal RNA". From Rfam's summary of the family: 5.8S ribosomal RNA (5.8S rRNA) is a component of the large subunit of the eukaryotic ribosome. The record is from RNAcentral. Lineage: Eukaryota; Fungi; Ascomycota; Sordariomycetes; Hypocreales; Ophiocordycipitaceae.
AAAAUGAAUCAAAACUUUCAACAACGGAUCUCUUGGUUCUGGCAUCGAUGAAGAACGCAGCGAAAUGCGAUAAGUAAUGUGAAUUGCAGAAUUCAGUGAAUCAUCGAAUCUUUGAACGCACAUUGCGCCCGCCAGUAUUCUGGCGGGCAUGCCUGUGCGAGCGUCAUUUCAACCCUC